Molecule: long non-coding RNA, 1368 nt
Filed under: Salmo salar (Atlantic salmon)
Lineage: Eukaryota; Metazoa; Chordata; Actinopteri; Salmoniformes; Salmonidae
Description: lncRNA (ENSSSAG00000083758.1)
Source: RNAcentral
GGUAGACAGACAGUGUUCAUUAUGACCUAGAGGAUUCUAUAUGGUAGACAGACAGUGUUCAUUAGACCUAGAGGAUUCUAUAUGGUAGACAGACAGUGUUCAUUAUGACCUAGAGGAUUCUAUAUGGUAGACAGACAGUGUUCAUUAUGACCUAGAGGGUUCUAUAUGGUAGACAGACAGUGUUCAUUUUGACCUAGAGGGUUCUAUAUGGUAGACAGACAGUGUUCAUUAUGACCUAGAGGAUUCUAUAUGGUAGACAGACAGUGUUCAUUAAACCUAGAGGAUUCUAUUUGGUAGACAGACAGUGUUCAUUAGACCUAGAGGAUUCUAUAUGGUAGACAGACAGUGUUUUUUAGACCUAGAGGAUUCUAUAUGGUAGACAGACUGUUCAUUAUGACCUAGAGGAUUCUAUAUGGUAGACAGACAGUGUUCAUUAUGACCUAGAGGAUUCUAUAUGGUAGACAGACAGUGUUCAUUAUGACCUAGAGGGUUCUAUAUGGUAGACAGACAGUGUUCAUUAUGACCUAGAGGAUUCUAUAUGGUAGACAGACAGUGUUCAUUAUGACCUAGAGGAUUCUAUAUGGUAGACAGACAGUGUUCAUUAGUUGGGGAACACUGAGGUGAGAAGAAUGUUUUACCAACAUAACAAACGGCAUGCAUGUUUUCACCUGUAUGGACUGUAUGGGCUACAGUACAAGCCCCUGUCUCUGAGGCUGCAUGUGUUUUUUUCCUCUUCCGCAAAAUAAUUGGGUCAUCACUAUUUACUACAGCCACAAAGUCAGAAGGCCCGCCUACUCGACCAAUCAGAUGAGGGAGUGUGAUGACAUGUAUGCUGACCGGCUUGCAUUUCUUUUAUAUAUUGAUUAGUCAAUAACCAACUGUUCUAUGUGCUAAGUGUUAAUCUGGUGUCUUAUUCAACCGUUCUAAAUACAAAGUGUUAAUCUGGUGUCUUAUUCAACCGUUCUAAAUACAAAUGUUAAUCUGGUGUCUUAUUCAACCGUUCUAAAUACAAAGUGUUAAUCUGGUGUUUUAUUCAACCGUUCUAAAUGCAAAGUGUUAAUCGGAUGUCUUAUUCAAACUCAGCUUGCAAGCUAAUCAUGAUUUUUUCCCCCCUUACUCAUAGUUACAUGUUUUAAAAAGUGGUUUACUCCAAUAUCUGCGUUGUUUUUAAAAUGGCAUGUAGAUAAAUAAAGUGCCACAUCUUGAAUUCAGAUUUAGUUUUUUUCAAAAUCCACAAGUAAAACCGUACACAACUUCACAGAAAUGUUCACAGAUAUAAAAGAAAUUGGGCAGAUAAUUUGGCUGAUUUAAGAUAAAAACUUCAACGCUGUUAUUUUAUUAGGCACCUAGGCACUUACUAUAGUCAUU